This 107-nucleotide small nucleolar RNA is filed under the name Echinops telfairi (small Madagascar hedgehog). RNAcentral's name for it is "Small nucleolar RNA SNORA61 (ENSETEG00000025902.1)". The record is from RNAcentral. Lineage: Eukaryota; Metazoa; Chordata; Mammalia; Afrosoricida; Tenrecidae.
ACCCUCCAGAUGCCCUUCCCCUCAGACCUAAUCAUUGGUCUAAGUGACUGUACAAUGAGGGAAAGUAAAACUGAAACAGAUUUGGGGUUUUUCUGUGACAUACAAUU